AGUUGGGGGCAUCAGUAUUCUGAAGCGAGAGGUGAAACUCUUGGACCUUCGGAAGACUAACAACUGCGAAAGCAUUUGCCUAGGAUGUUCUCUUUAAUCAAGAACGAAAGUUGGGGGAUCGAAGACGAUCAGAUACCGUCGUAGUCUCAACUAUAAACUAUGCCAGCUAGGGAUUGGUGGACGUUUAUUUACGACUCCAUCAGCACCUUAUGAGAAAUCAAAGCAUUUGGGUUCCGGGGGGAGUAUGGUCGCAAGGCUGAAACUUAAAGGAAUUGACGGGAGGGCACCACCAGGAGUGGAGCCUGUGGCUUAAUUUGACUCAACACGGGAAAACUUACCAGGUCCGGACAUAGUAAGGAUUGACAGAUUGAUAGCUCUUU
Molecule: ribosomal RNA, 380 nt
Filed under: uncultured marine eukaryote
Lineage: Eukaryota
Description: SSU rRNA
Rfam family: Eukaryotic small subunit ribosomal RNA
Source: RNAcentral